AGUGAACGCUGGCGGUAGGCCUAACACAUGCAAGUCGAACGGCAGCACAGUAAGAGCUUGCUCUUACGGGUGGCGAGUGGCGGACGGGUGAGGAAUACAUCGGAAUCUACUUUUUCGUGGGGGAUAACGUAGGGAAACUUACGCUAAUACCGCAUACGAUCUACGGGUGAAAGCAGGGGAUCUUCGGACUUUGCCCGACUCAAUGAGCCGAUGCCGGAUUAGCUAGUUGGCUGGGUAAAGGCCCACCAAGGCGACGAUCCGUAGCUGGUCUGAGAGGAUGAUCAGCCACACUGGAACUGAGACACGGUCCAGACUCCUACGGGAGGCAGCAGUGGGGAAUAUUGGGCAAUGGGCGCAAGCCUGAUCCAGCCAUACCGCGUGAGUGAAGAAGGCCUUCGGGUUGUAAAGCCCUUUUGUUGGGAAAGAAAAGCAGCAGGUUAAUACCCCGCUGUUCUGACGGUACCCAAAGAGUAAGCACCGGCUAACUUCGUG
This 492-nucleotide ribosomal RNA is filed under the name uncultured bacterium. Its description in RNAcentral is "partial 16S ribosomal RNA". It matches the Rfam family "Bacterial small subunit ribosomal RNA", at positions 29 to 507 of the family's 1533-position model. The record is from RNAcentral.